Molecule: ribosomal RNA, 433 nt
Filed under: uncultured bacterium
Lineage: Bacteria
Description: partial 16S ribosomal RNA
Rfam family: Bacterial small subunit ribosomal RNA
Source: RNAcentral
AACGAACGCUGGCGGCAUGCCUAACACAUGCAAGUCGAACGAGACCUUCGGGUCUAGUGGCGCACGGGUGCGUAACGCGUGGGAACCUGCCCUUAGGUUCGGAAUAACUCCCCGAAAGGGGUGCUAAUACCGGAUAAUGUCUUCGGACCAAAGAUUUAUCGCCUUUGGAUGGGCCCGCGUUGGAUUAGCUAGUUGGUAGGGUAAAAGCCUACCAAGGCGACGAUCCAUAGCUGGUCUGAGAGGAUGAUCAGCCACACUGGGACUGAGACACGGCCCAGACUCCUACGGGAGGGAGCAGUGGGGGAUAUUGGACAAUGGGCGAAAGCCUGAUCCAGCAAUGCCGGGAGAGUGAUGAAGGCCUUAGGGUUGUAAAGCUCUUUUACCCGGGAUGAUAAUGACGGUACCGGGAGAAUAAGCUCCGGCUAACUCCGUG